CGAAUAUUCCGCAAUGCACGAAAGUGUGACGGAGCGAUGCCGCGUGCAGGAUGAAGCCCCUCGGGGUGUAAACUGCUGUCAGGGUUUACCAAUAAAUUGAGGAUACCCAAAGGAAGAGACGGCUAACUCUGUGCCAGCAGCCGCGGUAAUACAGAGGUCUCGAGCGUUAAUCGGAAUUACUGGGCUUAAAGGGUGCGUAGGCGGCGCUGUAAGUGCCUUGUGAAAUCCCAUGGCUUAACCAUGGAAUUGCUCGGCAGACUGCAGUGCUUGAGGUUGGUAGGGGUCGCUGGAACUCUAGGUGGAGCGGUGAAAUGCGUAGAUAUCUAGAGGAACGCCAAAGGUGUAGACAGGCGACUGGGCCAAUUCUGACGCUGAGGCACGAAAGCGUGGGUAGCGAA
Molecule: ribosomal RNA, 398 nt
Filed under: uncultured bacterium
Lineage: Bacteria
Description: bacterial SSU rRNA
Rfam family: Bacterial small subunit ribosomal RNA
Source: RNAcentral